Molecule: long non-coding RNA, 7755 nt
Organism: Oncorhynchus tshawytscha (Chinook salmon)
Lineage: Eukaryota; Metazoa; Chordata; Actinopteri; Salmoniformes; Salmonidae
Source: Ensembl
AGCAGCACCAUUCUCUUUUUCAUUCAACAGUGGCCUAACCCACACACACAAAAAAAAAGAGGCCUAGUUGUAAAUUAAGUACAUCAGGGUGAACCUCUCAGUGACAGCGUUGAAGUCUUUAUUCCUUUUGAGUUUGAAAAGUCUCAGUUGACAUGAGGGCCUAGGAUGGCGCAGUUGUACUUCCCCAACACUCCCAAUACAUAAUCCACCAAGGCCGCAGCUUGUUUGUCAUCACACACAUCAUCAUACCAAAGACGCCUCCUUGACUUCACUUUUAGCCACAAUGCAAAAUCAUAAAGAUCUGGCCUUUGUUUGUCGUAUCUAGCAGUUGUCCCAUCUACUGCAACAAACGUGGCUGCAUUAAUCUCCUCUUCAAUGUCAUUUUGAAUCACAUCCCUGACUGCUUCAAUGAAAUCAUACUGUAUUCUGUUUGAUAUUCCUGGAAACACAGUGGAAGUCUCAAGUGUCUUGCUAACAUUUCGCAUUUUUCAGCCAAGGUAUCCAAUAACUACAUAGUUGCCAAGAUUACAUGAACCUGUACUCACAUCAUUACCACAAAAUGCUAAUUCUUGUUUCUCUAGGUAGCAUGUUACUCUAAUAAGGUCCUUCAAAAUCUCAGUUUUCCCCUGCAAACAGAGGAGGUCCUGAGGACAUUCAGCAACGUUUUCUCUGGGGGAUGUUUGUGUAGUUCCUUGUAAGUUACCAGGACAUCACUGAGGGCCAUGUCAGGAUCUUUUUAGGACAUUCUUAGUCCUUAGGACACCGUGUGAUGGUCCCAAGGGACGUGUUUUAAUUUCCCGGUUUGUCCUGAGACGUUUUUAUGACGUUUUUGGGACGUUGUGUCAUGGUCCCCUGAACAUUCUUAGGAUGUUGUCAUGGUACCCUGGAGGUUUUUGUCAUGUUGAUGGUCCCAGGUUUUCCAAACCAUUAUAAGUCAGGUAAUGAGAUGGUAUGUGGGUUUUAAGGUAAGUGGUACACUGUUCAACUAAAAUAGAGUAAAAAUCUUUAAUCAAGGACAAUAUGAUUACAUUUGGCAUGAUCACUUAGUACUGUUUUUUUCCAUAUAACCCCACCUGGGACUUGAACUCAUAUCAUGUGGAUUUGGGUUAUGCUGAUCUUUCACAAAGUCUGUACAAUUUCAGAAGUCCUCUACACAUUCCAUUACCUAUAAAACAUCUCUGCACAGAUGGCAAAAGAAUGCCAUCUGCACUACUAUUUUAGUUAUCAGUUAAUAUAACUAUUUGUAGGAUAAAUAAAGGGGGCAUUGUUAGAGGAAUUUAAUACUUAUGUGUUUGUUAACCAAUUCAAUUAUAACAAAGCAAAAUACUUUGUCCGUUUCUAAGAAUUUGUAAGGUUCUUAUUUGCAUAAAAUAGACAAAGAUCAGUCUCAAAAUGAAUCAAUAGCGUUUAUUCCCGAGAGCUCUGGUCAUAAUACCAUGUACAUUGGUUUAUAUACCUCACAUUUCGGCAUAAAUGUCCCUCCUCUCAGAUACAAUGGCAAUAUAGUUCACAAGCCUUCUCACAGUGUCUGCCACCUGUUAAACAAUCUACUACAAGCCCAAGGUCCCUCCCCUCCCUGGGUAGGGACAGAAUGUCCUGUAAGGAACACAGUAUUCCAGCCGGUCUGACGAGAGCUCCAUUCGUUUCUAACAAGGAACAGAAAGUCCUUGUUCUAAUUCUUAAUACUUAUACUUAUACUUAAUACUUAUACUCAGUAUUAUGAUUAUAAUACGAUUCAUACAUUCAUACAGUAACAGAGUAGUAUUCUGUUUAUUUGUAGUUCUAAGUUAAAUGUAUAUAUAAUUUAGUCAUUCAUAAAAAUCCCAUAACAGGCAUAUAAGCAGACAAUGAAAGUUCUUACAAUAUUAGAUGACAUUACUCUAAAACAGGCUAUAGGCUACAUGUGCACCACCAAGUCAGAACAGUAGGAUAAGUUAUGAGGGGGAAAGGGAACACAUUAUUAGGGUGAGGCACAUGUGCUUCUAACAGCUUACUACACAACAUACACUUAGUAUUACUUUCUUAGCUACAGUGUACAUAUCUCCCUGGCAUAUUACAUCAUUUAUGCAGCAGCAUACAAGACAUUUUUGGACUCACAUUUGUGCUGUGUUCAGUUGAACAGGAAGGUGGCACGGUGGUCCUUGUGGGCAAAUUCAUGAAACCUUGUCAUCAAAGUCUGGCAUACUCUGGAUUUAUGAUGCUUUCAAGACAACGGAGAACUCUGGGAAAAAAACUAGUUUGAAUCAUGACAUCAGUGAUCUUCAGGUCGGAGCCCUCGAAAGAGGCCCGAGUUUCCGACUUGGAAUUCCGACUUGGAGUUCACAGUUGUCUUGAACUCACUGUAUCCUGAGAUUUCCCAGUUCAGAGUUUCCAGUUGUUUUGAACAUGGCAAAAGUCAUGCUGGAUUGACAGAAGGGCCAAUGUAUUCAACCUUUUCUGAACCAUGGUGUUGCUUGUGAAUUUGAACCCAUUUACACUUUGAAAAGACAUCUUUAAUCAAUCAAAUGUAUUUAUAAAGCCCUUUUUACAUCAGCAGAUGUCACAAAGUGCUAUACAGAAACCUAGCCUAAAACCUCCAAGUAAUGCAGAUGUAGAAGCACGUUUUAUCUAUAAUAUCUCUUCAGAUGAACAAAGAUUAAAAAGUAUUUGCCAGUAGGUUGUCAACGUGAUUUAUGAUGACUCCUUGUCUAGCUAAGAUUUUGAAAAGUAGAUAUAACGUUUUUGGAUGUAGAUAUAACAUUAUUUGACGUCAUUUAAUCUGUGGACAAGGUCAUUGGAAUAUUUUAGGCUUCCCUGGUCUUUGUGGUUUAAUCUGUGUUUGAAAUUCACUGUUCGACUGAGAGACCUUACAGAUAAAGUGCAUUCGGAAAGUUUUCAGACCCCUUGAUUUGUUUUCUACAUUUUGUUAUCGUUACAGCCUUAUUCUAAAAUGGAUUAAAUCGUUUUUUCCCCUCAAUCUACACACAAUACCCCCAAAUAAAAAAAAUAACAGGUUUAGAAAUGUUUGCAAAUGUAUUAAAAAUAAAAAACUGAUAUCACAUUUACAUACGUAUUCAGACCCUUUACUCAGUACUUUGUUGAAGCACCUUUGGCAGCGAUUACAGCCUUGAGUAUGACGCUACCAUCUUGGCACACCUGUAUUUGAGGAGUUUCUCCAAUUAUUUUCUGCUGAUCCUCUUAAGCUCUGUCAGGUUGGAUGGGGAGUGUCGCUGCACAGCUAUUUUCAGGUCUCCAGAGAUGUUCGAUCGGGUUCAAGUCCGGGAUCUGGCUGGGCCUCUCAAGGACAUUCAGAAACUUGUCCCGAAGCCACUCCUGCGUUGUUUUGGCUGUGUGCUUAGGGUCGUCCUGUUGGAAGGUGAACCUUCGCCCCAGUCUGAGCACUCUGGAGCAAGUUUUCAUCAAGGAUCUCUCUGUGUAGUACUUUGCUCCAUUCAUCUUUCCCUCAAUCCUUUCUAGUUUCCCAAUCCCUACCACUGAAAAACAUCCCACAGCAUGAUGCUGCCACAAACCCGCUUCACCGUAGGGAUGGUGCCAGGUUUCCUCCAGAUGUGACGCUUGGCAUUCAGGCAAAAGAGUUCAAUCUUGGUUUCGUCAGACCAGAACAUCUUGUUUCUCAUGGUCUGAGAGUCUUUAGGUGCCUUUUGGCAAACUCCAAGCGGCCUGUCAUGUGCCUUUUACUGAGGAGUGGUUUCCAUCUGGCCACUACCAUAAAGGCCUGAUUAGUGGAGUGCUGCAGAGAUGGUUGUCCUUCUGGAAGGUUCUCCCAACUCCACAGAGGAACUCUGGAGCUCUGUCAGAGUGACCUUCAGGUUCUCGGUCACCUCCCUGACCAAGGCCUUUCUCCUCCGAUUGCUCAGUUCAGCUGGGCGGCCAGCUCUAGGAAGAGUGUUGGUGGUUCCAAACUUCUUCCAUUUAAGAAUGAUGGAAGCCACUGGGUUCUUGGGGACCUUCAAUGCUGCAGAAAUGUGUUGGUACACUUCCCCAGAUCUGUGCCUCGACACAAUCCUGCUCGGAGCUCUACGGACAAUUCCUUUGACCUCAUGGCUAUGUUUUUGCUCUGACAUGCACUGUCAACUGUGGGACCUUAUAUAGACAGGUAUGUGCCUUUCCAAAUCAUGUUCAAUCAAUUGAACUUAAAAAAAUUAAAAUAAAAACAUGAGCUGGUGCACACCCAGAAAAUAGUUAGUGUGGAGGUGCUGACUAACGGUGAAUAAACUAUCAAAAUAAAGAAAGUCGCACACUCCAUGUAUAAUCUCCCAACAAUUUAAUGGGCAAUGUUUCGGCAUCACUGUGCCUUCCUCAGGGUAACGUCAUAAAUACUUGAACCAGGUUAUAUAGACACACUGUGCAAUUAGUGUAACCAAUGACAAUGAGCUUACUACAGGUGGACUCCAAUCAAGUUGUAGAAACAUCUCAAGGAUGAUCAAUGGGAACAGGAUGCACCGGAGGUCAAUUUCGAGUUUCAUAGAAAAGGGUCUGAAUACUUAUUUAAAUAAGGUUUUUAUUUGUAAUAAAUUUGUCAAUUUCUAAAAACCUGUUUUCACUUUGUCAUUAUGGGGUAUGGUCUGUAGAUUGGUGAGGAACAUUUUUAAUUUAAACCAUUUUAGAACAAGGCUGUAUCGUAACAAAAUGUGGAAAAAUCCAAGGGGUCUGAAUACUUUCUGAAUGCACUGUAAUAGCAUGUGUGGGUUACAGAGGUGAGGUAGUCAUUCAAAAAGCAUGUUAAACACUAUUAUUGCACAGUGAGUCCAUGCAACUUAUGUGACUUGUUGAGCAGAUUUUUUAUUUAGGGUUGCCAUAACAAAGGGUUUGAAUACUUAUUGACUCAAGACAUUUCAGUUUUGGAUUUUUUAUUAAUUUGUAAAAUUCUCAAAAAACAUAAUUCCAAUUUGACAUUAUGGGUGGGGUAUGUGUGUAGGCCAAUGACAAAAUAUCUAAUUGUAAUCCAUUUAAAAUUCAGGCUGUAACACAACAAAAUGUGGAAAAAGUCAAGGGGUGUGAAUACUUUAUGAGGCACUAUAUGUCAGUGUGUCAAAUAUGUAAGUUGAAAAGCAGUGUUUGUUUGUGUGGGGGUGUUGGUGGCCCUAGCAUAUCCAAAAGACAAAGAGCUGUGACUGGAUCAGUGGUUCACCAAUCAGGGCCUUGAUGGACUUGGCAAAAGUAACAAGGGGUGAUGUGUAAUGAAACUAGGUUGUGAAUGCCCUGGGUAAAAUGUACGAUUAUUUUUGCAAACAUCAGGUGACAAACCAAGAACUGGAGAUAGACUUCCAUGGGAUCAUGACAAUGUCCAAAGAACAUUCAGGGGACCCUGACACAACAUCCCAAGAAAGUACUAAAAACGUCCUCGGGGGAUGUUCCCAAGACAAACUGGAAACUAGACAAAACCGUGACACAACGUCCUGACAACUUCAGGCCACCAUUUCGUGACGUCCCGGGGACAUCCUACGGACUCAUUGUUGUUUGCAGGGUAGUUCCCUCUAAGUUCCCACAAAAUCACUGAGGACCAUGUCUAAACCUUUUUAGGAUGUUCUCAGGACUUUCAUUUGACUAGUUCUUAGGAUGUCGUGUGAUGUUCCCAAAGGUAAUGUUCUCUGGGGAUCUUUUUUCUAGUUUCCUGUUUGUUCCGGGGGCUUCCCCGAAGACACUUUUAGAAUGUUCUUGUGACGUUGUGCCAUGGUUCCCUGGGUGUCUGGAUCCCGGUUUGUCCCGGGGACAUCCCUGAGGCUGUUUAAGACGUUCUUGUGUUGUGUCAUUGUCCCCUGGAGGUUUUGUCUAGUUCCCGGUUUGUCCUGGGGACGUCCCAGAGGAUGGCUUUUCAUAACACCUUUUUCAUAACAUAUUUUUUUAUUAGAUUAGCAUUGCCUACCCUGACUGCAUGUCAAUGUCCUACAGUACACGUUUAAAGCUGUACAGUACAUUCUAAGUGCAAUUCCAGAUGAAGUUGAAAUCAGCAUGGCGUUUAAUUGUAUUCUGUGGAAUCAAUGAUGUGAUGUGCUUCACAUUUCCAUAUCAUAAAAUUCAUGUCCUAUACAGUGUCAAUUUUAUGAUCACUAUGUUUGAUGUACAGUUACAAGAUGCCAUGGCUUCAUGCCCUGGAUUGUUCUGAAGCGAAUGUUCCUAUGCUUGUCUAUUGCGAAGAAACAGCACGCACCUCAAUGCACUCAUGACUCCUUUCAAUGUGCACCAAAAUUAUGAUCCGUUUCCCCGAAUUGCAUUGUGAAAGCCUGACAGUGUAAUAUUGUAUUUUAUAACUUAGCUAGUCACGUUAGCUAUAGAACCAGCUUUCAAUCGAUGCCCACAAGCCCCAGACUGAUUUAUAAUGGACCGUUUUUGGAUUACGUGAACAUCCGUAAUUGUAUGAUGGCGGGUAUGCAGGGUUGUGUUCCAAACAACUACAAGUGUGCUCGCUCUAGUUCCUCAACGGCACAGCUAGGAGAGCUCCAAAAAACACCUUAUAGUUGAAGACUCUUCUUUGAGUCAUAAAAGUGCAUUGAAAUGACUGUGCUGGGGUGUGUGGCCACUUGGAGACACCAAUUAAGUUCUCUCACUUAAACCCUUGUAAAUUGGUUGUCUUAUGUUGCACCUACUCCACAUGUUCUAGGGAUAUUCUUAUCAUGUUACUGAAUGUAUCCAGAGUAUUUUCAGAUUUCGUUAUCAACAAAUGCAGCGAAAAGUACAGUAAUUCUAAAAUGCUAAUAAAAUCAACAGUGUAAUGUUUGACUUCAGUCUUGUGUCAGGUGAACUGUGUCCUCAACUUCGGAAUAAUAAUUGUCCCAUAAUCCCCAAACAGUUCCCUUUCAAUUGCUACCACUGCCAUGGUUAUACAUAUGCUUUUCAAAUUUCCUCUGUAAGAAACAUUUCAAUUUAGCUCUAUCCAUGGGGUUCAUUUCCAACAUACCAGUACACCUUAAAAGGCACACUCAACAAGAUGACGUCGUCAUACUCAGAGGGGCAUCCUACUUACAGAAAACAAUAUCAGCAAAUUGUGUUUCAGACUUUAAUUAUGUCAUUUGUGCUGGUUUCUGUAAGUAGGAAGUCGACCCCAGUUGUGUGUCUAUGAUGAUGUAGUUUUGCUGUGUACCUUUUAACAUUUUACGUGACAAUGCUGACGUGAUGAUGAUCGUGUACUGCCAGCAGAUCUUAAUUAGCUUCAUGUGAGUAGGCUGUUUUCUUUAUGCGAGAACUCAUCGCGAGCGUGCUUUCUUUAGUAGGAAACACUACUCCCAUCCCCUCUAGAAACUGCUGAUCCAUGUUGAGUCCUCCACAUGACACAUUUGUUUGAACUCGUAAUUUGACUUCAAUAGACUGCAACAGAGAAUGAGGAAGUUCACUACUACUGAGAUUUUAUAGAAGCAUUUUGGAGCCAGAAACUCUUCUUCUGGUAAAUGUAGCGAAUUGAGAAGUGUGGUUGUUGACUGUGGGAUGGGAACAGCUGUGUCAGUCUAGCAUGAGAGAGAAUCAGUCUUCUGCCCGCCCACUGAGUCAACACACACACAAUGCUGUGAUGAUAAAAUAUGCAUAAUUAAGAGAAUUAUAUUUGAAUAGUCUGAAAUGUAACACUGUAAGAUUUCCAGUCCCAAGACCUUAAUUUUCUGUAAACGCAUGCAAACACAAGGAUUUGUGUGCACACCAAUGGCAUAACAAAUUGUCCCAAUGCUUGUUUAUAAUGGACACAUUUGAGAUUGUGUCUACCAUAUUUCAUUGCAUUAGUUAAGAAUGAAUAUCCAAGAUGUUGCUGGUAACUACAGUCCGAGG